UACGUAGGUGGCAAGCGUUGUCCGGAUUUACUGGGUGUAAAGGGCGUGUAGGCGGGACUGCAAGUCAGAUGUGAAAUGCCGGGGCUUAACCCCGGAGCUGCAUUUGAAACUGUAGUUCUUGAGUAUCGGAGAGGCAGGCGGAAUUCCUAGUGUAGCGGUGAAAUGCGUAGAUAUUAGGAGGAACACCAGUGGCGAUGGCGGCCUGCUGGACGACAACUGACGCUGAGGCGCGAAGGCGUGGGGAGCAAAC
RNAcentral lists this ribosomal RNA (250 nucleotides) under uncultured bacterium. RNAcentral's name for it is "partial 16S ribosomal RNA". It matches the Rfam family "Bacterial small subunit ribosomal RNA", at positions 524 to 773 of the family's 1533-position model. The record is from RNAcentral.